Molecule: long non-coding RNA, 327 nt
Organism: Melitaea cinxia (Glanville fritillary)
Lineage: Eukaryota; Metazoa; Arthropoda; Insecta; Lepidoptera; Nymphalidae
Exons: 3
Source: RefSeq, a predicted model, not a curated record
UAUCCCACUUCUGAUCUUAGAAAUCAGAAGUGAAAGAGAAUUUUAUUUUAAAAAAACGAAUAAGACACGGAGUAACUUUACAAGAUUUAUUCAUUUACAUCAACUAAGUAAAUGUUUAUCGACACAAGUACAAGUACGCGUUCUAUUAGCACUAGAGAGUACGUCCGUCGCUGCCGCGAGCUCGAAGCAAAGAGAGCGAUGCUACCGCAUGAUGCGACGUGGCGCACGCGGCGUUAUUGCCCCGCCCUCCGCGUUCCGUUGCACGACGUCACUGAGUAGAGGAGCCGGGUCGUGGGAAAGUUUCUAACACUAAACUAAACGCUAAUC